Molecule: unclassified non-coding RNA, 358 nt
Filed under: soil metagenome
Description: partial contains 5.8S ribosomal RNA, internal transcribed spacer 2, and large subunit ribosomal RNA
Rfam family: 5.8S ribosomal RNA (bases 1-120)
Source: RNAcentral
GAUGAAGAACGCAGCGAAAUGCGAUACGUAAUGUGAAUUGCAGAAUUCAGUGAAUCAUCGAGUCUUUGAACGCACAUUGCGCCCCCUGGUAUUCUGGCGGGCAUGCCUGUUCGAGCGUCAUUACGCCCCUCAAGUCCCCUGUGGACUUGGUGUUGGGGAUCGGCGAGGCUGGUUUUCCAGCACAGCCGUCCCUUAAAUUAAUUGGCGGUCUCGCCGUGGCCCUCCUCUGCGCAGUAGUAAAACACUCGCAACAGGAGCCCGGCGCGGUCCACUGCCGUAAAACCCCCCAACUUUUUAUAGUUGACCUCGAAUCAGGUAGGACUACCCGCUGAACUUAAGCAUAUCAAUAAGCGGAGGA